RNAcentral lists this ribosomal RNA (388 nucleotides) under Syndiniales sp. RNAcentral's name for it is "partial small subunit ribosomal RNA". It matches the Rfam family "Eukaryotic small subunit ribosomal RNA", at positions 582 to 975 of the family's 1831-position model. The record is from RNAcentral. Lineage: Eukaryota; Dinophyceae; Syndiniales.
AUUCCAGCUCCAAUAGCGUAUAUUAAAGUUGUUGCGGUUAAAAAGUUCGUAGUUGGAUUUCUGUGAAGGAUAACCGGUCCGCACUAUGUGCGUGUAUCUGUUUGUCCUUUGCAUCCUCGCGGAAUACGUCACUGUGCUUCACUGCAUGGGGCGGGCUUCGCGACUUUUACUUUGAGGAAAUUAGAGUGUUCACGGCAGGCUCACGCCAUGAAUAUAUUAGCAUGGAAUAAUAAUACAGGACCUUGGUUCUAUUUUGUUGGUUUCUAGGGCUAAGGUAAUGAUUAAUAGGGACAAUUGGGGGCAUUCGUAUUAACGCGUCAGAGGUGGAAUUCUUGGAUUGCGUUACGACGAGCUACUGCGAAAGCAUUUGCCAAGGAUGUUUUCAUCG